CACGUAGGGGGCGAGCGUUGUCCGGAUUUAUUGGGCGUAAAGAGCUCGUAGGCGGCUUGGUAAGUCAGGUGUGAAAACUCGGGGCUCAACCCCGAGACGCCACCUGAUACUGCCAUGGCUAGAGUCCGGUAGGGGAGCAUGGAAUUCCCGGUGUAGCGGUGAAAUGCGCAGAUAUCGGGAGGAACACCAGUGGCGAAGGCGAUGCUCUGGGCCGGUACUGACGCUGAGGAGCGAAAGCGUGGGGAGCAAACAGG
This 254-nucleotide ribosomal RNA is filed under the name uncultured bacterium. Its description in RNAcentral is "partial 16S ribosomal RNA". It matches the Rfam family "Bacterial small subunit ribosomal RNA", at positions 524 to 776 of the family's 1533-position model. The record is from RNAcentral.